Artibeus jamaicensis (Jamaican fruit-eating bat) is the source of this 117-nucleotide small nucleolar RNA. RefSeq annotates it as small nucleolar RNA SNORA61. NCBI's taxonomy places the organism in Eukaryota, Metazoa, Chordata, Mammalia, Chiroptera, Phyllostomidae. The record is from RefSeq and is a predicted model, not a curated record. The transcript has a single exon.
ACCCUCUGGUUCCCUUCCCCAUUGGAUCUGAAUACCAGUCUUGGUCAUAAGAGGAGGAAAGGUAAUACUGAAGCUGGCCUCACAGCUCUGUGGCAUGUGGGCUAGUUUCAAACAAGG